UACGUAGGGUGCGAGCGUUGUCCGGAAUUAUUGGGCGUAAAGAGCUCGUAGGCGGUGUGUCACGUCGGCCGUGAAAACCUGCAGCUUAACUGUGGGCGUGCGGUCGAUACGGGCAUCACUGGAGUUCGGCAGGGGAGACUGGAAUUCCUGGUGUAGCGGUGAAAUGCGCAGAUAUCAGGAGGAACACCGGUGGCGAAGGCGGGUCUCUGGGCAUUAACUGACGCUGAGGAGCGAAAGCAUGGGGAGCGAACAGG
Molecule: ribosomal RNA, 254 nt
Filed under: uncultured bacterium
Lineage: Bacteria
Description: partial 16S ribosomal RNA
Rfam family: Bacterial small subunit ribosomal RNA
Source: RNAcentral